This 146-nucleotide ribosomal RNA is filed under the name Polypterus senegalus (gray bichir). RNAcentral describes it as "partial ribosomal RNA". Lineage: Eukaryota; Metazoa; Chordata; Cladistia; Polypteriformes; Polypteridae. The record is from RNAcentral.
CUUUAAAUGAGGACUGGUAUGAAUGGCCCCACGAGGGCUCAACUGUCUCUUUUCUCCGGUCAAUUAAACUGAUCUCCCCGUGCAGAAGCGGGCAUAAAGACAUAAGACGAGAAGACCCUGUGGAGCCUUAGAGCUAAUCAACCAUG